UUUCCGUAGGUGAACCUGCGGAAGGAUCGUUAAAGAACGCCCCGUUUUUUGAAAUGGGUAAUUCUAAACCGUGUAUACAUACCUUUGUUGCUUUGGCAGGCCGCCCCUCAGGGCGUCGGCUCCGGCUGACUGCGCCUGCCAGAGGACCCAAACUCUUUUGUUUAGUGAUGUCUGAGUACUAUAUAAUAGUUAAAACUUUCAACAACGGAUCUCUUGGUUCUG
RNAcentral lists this unclassified non-coding RNA (222 nucleotides) under plant metagenome. Its description in RNAcentral is "partial contains small subunit ribosomal RNA, internal transcribed spacer 1, and 5.8S ribosomal RNA". The record is from RNAcentral.